RNAcentral lists this ribosomal RNA (520 nucleotides) under uncultured Glomus. Its description in RNAcentral is "SSU rRNA". It matches the Rfam family "Eukaryotic small subunit ribosomal RNA", at positions 569 to 1089 of the family's 1831-position model. The record is from RNAcentral. Lineage: Eukaryota; Fungi; Glomeromycota; Glomeromycetes; Glomerales; Glomeraceae.
AGCAGCCGCGGUAAUUCCAGCUCCAAUAGCGUAUAUUAAAGUUGCUGCAGUUAAAAAAGCUCGUAGUUGAAUUUCGGGACCAUCAUGUCGGUCGUGCCUCGGUACGUACUGGUAUUGUUGGUUUCUCCCUUCUGACGAACCAUGAUGUCAUUUAUUUGGUGUUGUGGGGAAUCAGGACUGUUACUUUGAAAAAAUUAGAGUGUUUAAAGCAGGCUCACGCUUGAAUACAUUAGCAUGGAAUAAUGAAAUAGGACGUUUGAUUCUAUUUUGUUGGUUUCUAGGAUCGACGUAAUGAUUAAUAGGGAUAGUUGGGGGCAUUAGUAUUCAAUUGUCAGAGGUGAAAUUCUUGGAUUUAUUGAAGACUAACUACUGCGAAAGCAUUUGCCAAGGAUGUUUUCAUUAAUCAAGAACGAAAGUUAGGGGGAUCGAAGACGAUCAGAUACCGUCGUAGUCUUAACCAUAAACUAAUGCCGACUAGGGAUCGGAUGAUGUUAAUUUUUAAUGACUCAUUCGGCGUCCG